This 427-nucleotide ribosomal RNA is filed under the name Rhipicephalus microplus (southern cattle tick). RNAcentral's name for it is "partial large subunit ribosomal RNA". The stretch from base 281 to 427 matches the Rfam family "Bacterial large subunit ribosomal RNA", at positions 2473 to 2620 of the family's 2925-position model. Lineage: Eukaryota; Metazoa; Arthropoda; Arachnida; Ixodida; Ixodidae. The record is from RNAcentral.
UAUUUCCUUGAUUACAAGGUAUUGAAUAAGGUUUUAAUUGAAUGCUAAAAGAAUGGAAUAUCAAAGAAUAACUUUCUUAAAAUUAAAAAUUGAAAUUUUUUUAAUUUGUGUAAAAACAAUUAUAUAAAUUAAAGACAAGAAGACCCUAAGAAUUUUUAAAAUUUAAAUUAACACAUUUUUGUUUUAAUUAAAUUUUAACUGGGGCGGUUAAAAAAUAUUAAAAACUUUUUAAUUAUGAAAAUGACCCAUUAUUAAUGAAAAUAUGAUAAAAUACUCUAGGGAUAACAGCGUUAUAUUUUUUGAUAGAUCAUAUUGACAAAAAAGUUUGCGACCUCGAUGUUGGAUUAGGAUACUUUUUUAAUGAAGAUAUUAAAAUAAGAAGUUUGUUCAACUUUUAAAUUCCUACAUGAUCUGAUUUUAGACCGAA